This 468-nucleotide ribosomal RNA is filed under the name uncultured bacterium. Its description in RNAcentral is "partial 16S ribosomal RNA". It matches the Rfam family "Bacterial small subunit ribosomal RNA", at positions 28 to 507 of the family's 1533-position model. The record is from RNAcentral.
GACGAACGCUGGCGGCGUGCUUAACACAUGCAAGUCGAACGGAAAGGCCCUGCUUUUGUGGGGUGCUCGAGUGGCGAACGGGUGAGUAACACGUGAGUAACCUGCCCUUGACUUUGGGAUAACUUCAGGAAACUGGGGCUAAUACCGGAUAGGAGCUCCUGCUGCAUGGUGGGGGUUGGAAAGUUUCGGCGGUUGGGGAUGGACUCGCGGCUUAUCAGCUUGUUGGUGGGGUAGUGGCUUACCAAGGCUUUGACGGGUAGCCGGCCUGAGAGGGUGACCGGCCACAAUGGGGCUGAGGUGCGGCCCAGAAUCCUACGGGAGGCAGCAGUGGGGAAUAUUGCACAAUGGGCGGAAGCCUGAUGCAGCAACGCCGCGUGCGGGAUGACGGCCUUCGGGUUGUAAACCGCUUUCGCCUGUGACGAAGCGUGAGUGACGGUAAUGGGUAAAGAAGCACCGGCUAACUACGUG